Molecule: ribosomal RNA, 326 nt
Filed under: Dermacentor nitens
Lineage: Eukaryota; Metazoa; Arthropoda; Arachnida; Ixodida; Ixodidae
Description: partial 16S ribosomal RNA
Source: RNAcentral
UCUGCUCAAUGAUUUUUUAAAUUGCUGUGGUAUUUUGACUAUACAAAGGUAUUGUAAUAAGAUUUUAAUUGAAUGCUAAGAGAAUGGAACUACAAAGAACAGCUAUUUUAAACUUAAAAAUUAAAGUUAUUUUAAUUUGUGAAGAAACAAUUAUUAAAAUUAAGGACAAGAAGACCCUAAGAAUUUUAUAAUUAGUAAGUUUUUAUAAUAAAAAGUUACUAAUUUUUAGUUGGGGCAACUAAAAAAUAUUAUGAACUUUUUAAUAACUAAAAUGAACCACUAUUAUUGAUAACUUGAAAAAAAUACUCUAGGGAUAACAGCGUAAA